RNAcentral lists this transfer RNA (67 nucleotides) under Mesoplodon densirostris (Blainville's beaked whale). Its description in RNAcentral is "tRNA-Val". Lineage: Eukaryota; Metazoa; Chordata; Mammalia; Artiodactyla; Ziphiidae. The record is from RNAcentral.
CAAGAUAUAGCUUAAAUAAAGCAUCUAGUUUACACCUAGAAGAUUCCACAGUCCGUGUAUACCUUGA